UAAUAUAGCAGAUAGCAAAUACAAACUACAAAUAACAUAGCAGACAGCAAAUAGAAACUAGUACCAUAAAGUAGUAUAAAUAGCACUAAAUUAUCAAAAUGUACUUAGUCUUAGUUUUGUAUUAAUAAAGGAACUUGCCCUGACGGUGCAAAGUUCAUACAAAAGUGAAUCAAUUGUGAUUAACUCGCGCGCCCGCAUGUGCCACUCACCGCUGAUGACUGAGCUGAAGUUGAAACAAAAGAGCGAGGCGAAAGCUCAGCCAGAGAACUUAAAGAUAUAGAAAAGGUGCAAAUUGAAUUCUGUAUGAUGUUCGAUUGGACGGCUAACAGAGCUUAUAGAAUUGUAAAUAGUAAGGAGUUCACCAUUCUCGGUGCUAUUUAAUAGAAAUGAGCACAUGCAAAGGCAGAAAUAUAUGUAAAACGACUGAAUUCAUGCGAGAAUGAAUAAAGAGAAAUGCUUUGAAGAAAAAUAUACAAAGUCACACAGAGAAUGUAAAAAAUCAUUCUCUGAGUCACAUAUGCGUGAUCUUAUAUCAUAUGAACCAUUUUUUUUUUCAGAAAAAUUGUAAAAAUUUUAAUUUUUUUACAAAAUCGUGAAAAAUUAGGUAAAAAAUAAUUUAAUUAUAAUUUUUAAUUUUUAAAUUAUUUCAAAAAAGUUAUAUUUAUUUCGAAUAUUACAAACUGAAGAUGUGUCAAAUGAACUGAAAUGUGCUCAUAUACUCGUAUGUCAAUUGAUCUCCUUUUCUUUUUGUUUUCUACCGGUUUAAGGGUGUUGAGGAUUUCAAAAGUUUGAGUAGUUUCAUGUUUGAGGAUAGGAUAAAGGAAGUUAUCUUUAGGGACUUGAGUGGUUAUUUCAUUAUAAGUUUCUGUCAGGAAAUGUUCGUAACGGUCUAGGUCAGUGCUUCGCAAACAUAGUUUUGCCAUGACCCGGUAAUUUUCACACUGUCCUUUCGUGACCCACUUAAUAAUAUUAAACUCAAGAUGGUUACAUGAGAUUAAAUAAUACACGUUUAAUAAUAGUAAGAGAAAUGUUUUAUUAAUAUUAAAUUAUAAUAUUUUGGUAUCUUUGGUACUCACUUUUUAGUGCGAAGUAUGUAGCUGUUGUUUAUUUUUAAUUAUAGAGUUCAAGUUUGCUGAAAUUUCUGAAAGUUUUAUCCUGAGAUCGGGUUCCACUUCCAGUCUGUUUCGAUAUUUAUUUUUAAGGCAAAGUAGUGCUGAAAACCCAGUUCAUAUUUUUAAGUGGUCACAAAAGGCAUUAAAAAAAUCUUUGCUUGAUGACCUAGUAUUGUGUAUUCUUGAUGACAAGAUAACCAAAAACCAAUUGGUACGAAUGUGUGAAGGUCAUUAAUUUUUUUUUGAAGAAAUGAAAGGAAUGACGUGUUUACGAGUAUUAGAAACGGCAUGGAAAUACAUCGCCGGAUCUUCUGAUCAUAAUGAUCUUAAUAUUAUAAAUGACAAUUUAAAUAAUCUGUACCAAAAUAAUAAUAACGGAGCCUCCGGUUUUUAACGAGAAACUUUUCAUUUUGUUUUUGUUUUUUUCAAUAAAUGAAUUGGAAAAUAGUAACAACUACUGGAGCCGAAAACAUCAAGCUGUGACCGUACAGGUGCUGCUACACCUUCUCAGCAGCGUUCUUUUUGUGAUGCAUAUCAAGUUGAUCUUAAGAUCUCUAUAUACUUGCAAUUUUGAGAAAGUGCUCUACACAAAUUUAAAACAUUCAAAAAUGUUAUUGAAUCUUUUAAGAAAACUAACAGUAGUGGUUAUGUCUGGAUUUGUUCGAAAUGAAAUUCCAACAGCUUUAGAAGCUGUAUAGAUAACGGUCUAAUUUUGAUGUUUAGAUUAAUGUUAAAAAAGUUUUUUAUGAAAUUGGCCAUUAAAUCAUCAAUACACAAGAAAUGUAAAAGCUCAUGGGUUUUGUAAUUUUAAGAAAUAAAACGUUGUGACCCUUAAAAAUAAAUUAGAUAUUUAUAAAACAAUAGUAUUUAGAUCGGGUUUUAAAAAGCUUCGGUGAUCGGACGAGAACCGAUGUAUUCAGCGUGGUAUGGUCGUUGGCCGCUGUGUUCGGUGUGUGUAUAUGUUACCUAUCCACCCAUAAAAAUUAAAAUAAUAAUAAAUAAAAUUCAAACUUUAAUAGCUUUCAUCUUCCGCGAAAUCGUAUUGCAGUUAACAAUGUCAUUUUAUAUCUACAUAUAAAGCAAAAACUUAACUGUUAAGCUCCAAAGAAAAUAUAAUAUACUUCUAAAGUUCAGAAUUAAUUAGUUUUAAGGUCUUGUUUGCUGUCCAUCCUAGAUGUUGCGUUUCGACUUGCAACCGUGACUGCCAUAACACCAUCGCGAUUUUUUUCUAUAGUUCGACGUGAAACGCUAGUCAGCAGUUGCACAAAGCGCUCGGUUCCUUGAAUAUGUGGAGGAAUUUGUGGAUCCGGAAGUGGAGGAUUGUCAAAUUCUAUGUAAUCGAGCAAAUGGUCAUAGGGUAUGUUUGCAGUGAAGGGCGGCUCCGACAAAAUGCUAUUGUUAUCUAAGUUUAUCAUCUCAACAUAUUCAGUGCAGUCAAAAUUUAUAGUUGGUUUUUUGUAAGCUCUUAAUUUUGUUGGGUCGUAAAGUUUUUCACGAUAGUACAAAAUUUUUUUUUAAAGCCCUCUGGCGCACUUCCUUUCUGGCAUCAAAAAGCAUUGUUAGUAGAACAUUUCCUGAAUGUGCAAAAUAUGAGUUAUUUUGAACAACAUUAUUUACAAUUUCGCGCAGAUUUUGUGGUAAAUAUUAAAAAAAAAAAACAAGUGAAAAUCAAAGAAACAAUCGACAGUGUAACAGAAAUUGGAAUGAUUUGAUUUUUUUUAAUAAAUGAAAAGGAAAACAGUAAAAACUACUAGAGUCGAAAACAUAAAGCAGUGACCGUACAGAAAAAUACCGUUAUAUGGGAGGUGGCCGUAGUUUUUGCCCAAUUUUAAUCAUUUUCAUAAUCUCACCUAACUAGGUACAAUCUAAAAUGUGCACCAAAUUUAGUCGAAAUCGAUAAAGAAGUUCCAGAGAUUUACAUAUGCACUCAAAAGUGGGCGGUGACAUGCCAAAAUUUUCAUAUUGUCGAAUUUCUGGCUGCAAUACAACACCGAAUACCAAACUCAAGAUGUUUCCCUUCAACAGUUAUUAAAAUGUCCGAUCUUUAGUGUUUUCAAAAAUUGCCGUUAUAUGGUAGGUGGGCGUGGUUAUUAUCCGAUUUCGAUCAUUUUGCAGAUAUCUCUUAAGUAGGCAUUGUGUAAUAUGUAUACCAAAUUUGAACGAAAUCGGUGGGGUGGUUCCAGAGAUAUGCAUAUGAACUCAUAAGUGGGCAGUGCCACGCCCCCUAUAAAAAAUUUCUGUACUGUCGAAUUUUCUGCUUAAAUACAACAUCACAUACCAAAUUUGAGCAAAUUAGCUUCGAUAGCUACAAAACAAGCAAACAAUCGACAGUGGAAUAGGAAUUGGAUUUUUUUUUUUACAAAAUACAAUAUACGAAAUUUUCUCGCUAAAAACCGGAGGCUCGAUUUUCAUUUUAGACCCAUGGUUUCUUGGGCAAAUUUUCUUAGAAUUCGUCGUAGUUUACGAUUUUGAUAACCGCUUUGUCAAGAAAAAAAUUUACCCACUCUAGUGUAUAUACAUAUGUACGUACAAAUUAAACUAUUUCAUGAUGAAUUUCUUAAAAUCUUUGGAAAUAUGGGCUUAUUCGAGGCACUCCAUAACUGCGACAAUAUUGCAGCCCUGAUACUCAAUUUGCAACACUGUUGCAGAUGCUCAGCUGAUACUUAAGCAAAAUAAUUGCAAUAUUUUGCGCGAAUUGUGACCGAAAGUGAAACUUUAACCAUGAACUUUUUAAUAAAUAUAGCGAUAGAUAAUUUUGAAAGCAGUGAUAAUAACCUGCUGCUUAAGUAUGGAAAAAAUAGAAAACAACAUUUUUUAAGAAAGAGAAAGUGGUUCCUCGCUGAAAUUUCAAAAAAGAGAACAGUGACGAAGAUGAUAAAGGUUUGGAAAACAAUUCCAUUGUACCAUGAUGAUACAUAUUUCACGCAUUUUCGCAUGACUCGUGAAACAUUUGCAGACUUGAAAAAUGCGUUAGAACCUUUUUGGUCAACACCACACGGGGAAUAUUCCUUGGAACAUUCCUUGCAUAUGACUCUUUGGAAGCUAAGCAAUAGUAGAGUCACAUAUCGAGAGCUUGCCGAUAGAUUUAAUGUUGGGCAAGGAACUGCCCACAAACUUUUCCUUAAAACAAUCAAGACAAUCUGCAAACUUAAAAACGAGAUAUGUUGGCCGUCAGUUUUACAGCAGAAAAAAAUAAUGGAAAACUUUCAAACAAGCCGGGUAAAUUCAUUUCCUUUUGUUGUCGGAUGCUUAGAUGGAACGCAUUUCAAAAUUAACACUCCUCAAACAGAUGCAAUCAGUUAUUAUGACCGUAAAGGAAAUUUUUCAGUUAUUAUGCAGAUGUGUUCAUCGGCUACCCAGGUAGCUGUCAUGAUGCCAAUGUGUGGAAAAAUAGCCCACUUUACAAAGGGAUCACAUCUGGACAAAUAAAACUUGCGAAAGAUGCAAUUAUUCUAGCCGAUUCAGCAUAUCCUGUUUCAAGAUACUUAAUUGCUCCUUUUAGAGAUAACGGACAUCUUUCCAGAGAGGAAAAACAAUUCAACUAUUAUAUGAGUUCAACCCGAGUAUUUAUCGAGCAAACAUUUGGAAUUUUCAGGGCUAAGUUUAAAAUAUUGAAUCAUAUUGAUAUGCGCAAUAUAGAAGACAUAUCAACUGUGAUAUUAGCUUGCGCAAUUUUACAUAAUUUUGUACAGCGAAGCAAUCCGGUUCAUUCUGAAGACAAUCAUACGAGUAUGCCUGAAAAUUUAGAAAAUUCAAAUGAUCACGAUAUGAUUGAACUACCUGAAAAUAUAAAUGACACUAAUGAAGGAAUUAUCAGACGAAAUAACUUGAAAAUGCUAUUUAUUUCAUAGAAGUAUUAUUUCAAUAAUGUAUAUAUGUAUGUACAUAUCAAAUAAAUGAUUAAUUG
Bactrocera dorsalis (oriental fruit fly) is the source of this 5019-nucleotide RNA transcript. RefSeq lists it as uncharacterized. NCBI's taxonomy places the organism in Eukaryota, Metazoa, Arthropoda, Insecta, Diptera, Tephritidae. The transcript is spliced from 3 exons. The record is from RefSeq and is a predicted model, not a curated record.